GGGAAACCCUUUUUUGGUAAAACUAUACCCAUGUAUACAAGCCACCUACCAAAAUCAUAUGUACUCGCUCUGAAAAUGAACCAACAUCCAACAUCUAUCCGAGGGUGGCCUUUAUACACCCAAUAUACAGAAACAUGAUAUCGCACACCCUUGGCUGAAAGGCAAGAUGAUGAACCUUGAAAAAAUCGUCAUGGCCAUGCAUUAAGAGCCAAAACUGCAGCAAGCGAUAGAUAUGCAUAGCACCCAAAUGGACAAACAUGUUGCUGCUUUCACCUGUUGCAGCCUACUCAUUUUCCACUCCCAGACCGACGCCUUCAUCAGGGGACCAGCGCAGUUGAAAGACGAGCUAAUUAUAUAUCCUCACCGGCUUCUCAUGCGUGUGACCGUUCUGCAUGUGUAUAAAACCAUCAAAAAAGGCAAGGAUAUAUAAGAUGCAUGUCCUUAUGAAAUAGAAUGAAUUGGGCGAGGCUUGCACGAAAUCACGCAAUAAUCAAGGAAGAUCUGCUACCAAGCAGGCCCAGCCCUUAAAAAAAAGGUUUUCAUUCCGCUUUAUAUAUAAAGCAAUAAAGCAACGACCAAUCACAUCUUAAAUACAAACGCACGUCACCACAACACAUGCACACAUCCAAGGCCGGAAACAUAAGCGCUAAGCGCAGCAACACUGCCUCUAGUACUACAAGAGCAACUGGAGUUCUCUGUUAGAGUUAUAAUAUAAAUCAUGUACCCUUUUGUAUUUAUUCCAAUAUAUAAGGGAUUUUCUGCAUAUAGUCCACCACCUGUACAUGUAUAUAUACCGGCCUAUGGCCUUAUGAAAUACAAGAUGCUUAUUUCUAACAUGAUAUUAGAGCUAGGUUAACUUUUGCACGCCGCAACUCGUGUUGUUGAUCCGCUCAAGCCGCCGCUCUCUGUUCCCGUCAGUAAGCGCCUGCCUCGUCGCCAGCUCCCGUUGCUCCCGCUCGGACGGAUCCCGUUCCAGCACCUGCCUCGUCGUUUCUCCCGUGAUCCAGGACGGCUCCCGCUCCGGCUCGGAUCGAUCCAGACGGGAUCGAAUCCGCCUCUUUCUUCCACUCCGGCUCUGGAUCGAUCCAGGAUGGCUCCCUCCUGCUACAGAUACGCUGCGCUCCCUCCUGCUACACUACAAAUACAGGAUGUUCUGCCCGAUCCAGGACACUAGCUACAGAUACGGGAUCCUCUGCCCGAUCCAGGACGGCUCCCUCCUGAUACGGGAUCCUCUGCCCGAUCCAGGACGUCUCCCUCCUGCUACAGAUACGGGAUUCUCUACAGAUCGAUCCAGGACGGCUCGAUCCAGCUCUUCUCUCGCCCGCCCCCAACGCUUUUCCCGCUGCUGCUGCUUCCCAAGCGCCUCUGCUCGAGGACUCUGAUCUGCAGCUGCCCUUAUUCUUAAAAAAAAUGUCUACUGCUUCGGGCUAUGUUGCUGUCCCUCGAUGUACGGUGAUCUUCGAUGGCACUAACUACACCGAGUUCAUUGGCUUCAUGCGCAUUCAUAUGCAUGGCAUUCGUCUCUAGGGAGUUCUUUCUGUCGAGGUCUUUUGUCCGCCACGUCCGGUUCCUCCUGUGGCUCCCACUCCUCCGACUCCACCGGUUCUUUCCGCGGAUGCUUCUCAGGCUGCGAAGGAUGCGGCUAAGGUUGCUGAGGAGGCUGCUAUUCGUGCUUAUGAUGAGAAGGUUUUGACUUAUGAGGAGGCUCUUCAGGUGUAUCAUGGUGCUCUGUCUGUUUACACCCAGUGGCUUGAUGAUGAUGCCCGUGCUGCAGCUGUUCUCACUGCCAGUGUUCUGCCUCAGUUUGCCUCUGAGUUUCUGGGCCUUCCUACUGUCUUUGAGAUGUGGAUUCGCCUUCGUCAACGCUAUGACCCCUCUGCUGAUGCCUUAUACCUCUCUGUGGUUCGUCAGAAGCAUGCUCUUCAGCAGAGUGACUCUACUGUUGAUGACUUCUAUGCACAGAGUUUUGCUAUCUGGCGCCAGCUUGAUUCUCUCCGCAGUGCUGGUUGUCGUAGUUGUCACUGUUGCCAGGCUGUCCAGACCGAUUUGAAGUUUCAUCGCGUCUACGAGUUCCUGUCUAGGCUCCGUAAGGAGUUUGAGCCUCGGUGUGCUCAGUUGUUUGCUCGUGGCCGUAUUUCUCUCAUGGAGGCGCUUUCUGAGAUUCGUGCUGAGAAGACUCGCUUACGUGGUGCUGGUUUGCUGGAGGUUCCCUCGGUGCUUGCUGCUCGGACUCUUUCUACGCCACCUGCUGCACCGACCCCUUCUCGCUCGAGUGCUCCGCCGCUCUUGCCCACUCCUUCUGUCAGCUCAGGUCGCCCCCGUUCACAUUGUGGCUACUGCAACAAUGAUGGUCAUAUUGAGUCCAACUGCUACACGCAGAAGAAACACUUGCGCAAGGCGCGAUCAUCAUCUACAGCGACUUCGUCAUCUACCUCGACAGCUUCAGCCAUCGCUUUGACUGAGCAGGAUAUUCUGAGACUUAAGCGUCUGCUCGCUGCUUCAGGUUCUUCCUCGACGGGUACUGCUGGUACUGUGACUGAGGCUUCCCGCACUGAGCAACCACCUACUACACGGUCAGGUACAUCCCCAUGGGUUCUGGACUCUGGAGCUUCCUUUCAUAUGACUUCUAAUUCUUCCGCUCUGUCCUCUCUUCGAUCGCUUGAUUCUCCUGUUCAUGUCCUCACCGCUGAUGGUAUUCCCCUUCCUGUCGUUAAUAAAGGCACUCUUACAACUCCUUAUUCUGUUCCUGAUGUUGCUCAUGUUCCUUGACUUACCAUGAAUCUGUUUUCCGUUGGUCAACUUGUUGAUUCUGGUUGUGGUGUCAUCCUUGACCUUGACUCUUGUUCUGUCCAUGACCGUCGCACGCACACUCUGGUUGGGGCUGGUCCUCGCCGCCGUGAUUCCGAGGGUCUUCCGGAGUUGGACUGGCUUCAUGUUCCUUCCGCUGCCCACUCUAUCGCCAGUUCUUCCGCUUUGGUCGCCUCGGCUACUGUUUACUUCCAGCAGUGGCAUCAUCGACUUGGUCAUCUGUGUGGUUCUCGUUUGUCGUCGUUAGUUCGUCGAGGUCUUCUGGGGUCUGUCUCACGAGAUGCCUCUUUAGAGUGUCAGGAUUGUCGUCUUGGCAAGCAGAUUCAGUUACCAUAUCCACAUAGUGAGUUAGUGUCUAAGCGUCCUUUUGAUUUAGUUCGUUCCGAUGUAUGGGGUCCGGCUCCCUUCGCUUCGAAAGGGGGUCAUAAAUACUAUAUUAUUUUCAUAGAUGACUUCUCUCGUUACACAUGGCUUUAUUUUACGACUUCUCGUAGUGAGGUGUUGUCCAUUUAUAAGCGUUUUGCUGCCAUGGUUCAUACUCAGUUCUCUUCUCCCAUUCGUGUGUUCCAUGCUGACUCCGCAGUCGAGUAUAUCUCCAAGAUGUUGCGUGGUGUUCUUGCUGAGCAAGGGACUCUCUCUCAAUUCUCUUGUCCUGGUGCUCACGCUCAGAAUGGCAUGGUUGAACGCAACCAUCGUCAUCUUCUUGAGACGGCUCGUGCAUUGAUGAUUGCUGCCUCUCUCCCGCCUCAUUUUUGGGCUGAGGCCGUCUCCACCUCCACCUAUCUCAUCAAUUUCUAGCCUUCCGCUGCUCUACAGGGUGGUGUUCCUUUCGAGCGUCUUUUUGAUCGUUCUCCCGAUUAUUCGAUGCUUCGCUUGUUUGGUUGUGUUUGCUAUGUUCUUCUUGCCCUCCGCGAAUGCACCAAACUGAUCGCUCAGUCUGUUGAGUGUGUCUUCUUAGGCUAUAGUGAUGAGCAUAAGGGCUAUCGUUGUUGGGAUGCUAUCGGUCGUCGGAUGCAUAUCUCUCGGGAUGUGACUUUCGAUGAGUCUCGUCCCUUCUAUCCACGCCCAUCUUCCUCGACCUUUUCAGUGGAGGAUAUCUCUUUCCUCACUUAUCCUGACGCACCUAUCACACCCGCCGAGCCUUUGCCUGUUCGUUCCGCUCCCUCUGCUUCUCCACCUCCAGUCGAUUUGUCGCCACCAUCUUCCACGGUCUCCUCGUCUAGCAUGUCACCGGAUUCUACACCUUCAUCUCCGAUGACUUCUUCGUCGCCACUCCCCGAUUCUACCUUGGCGAUUCCUCCUUCCAUUGUUCCAUCUUUUCCUCAGUGUUACACUCGUCGUUUACGUUCUGUGGAUGCCUCUGUGGAUGUGUCGUCAUCCUCGUCUCAGCCUACUUAUGGCUUGCGUUCUCGUCCUCGUUCGCCUGUUGAUCGCUUUGGAUUUUCCACCGUUGGUGUCGUUGUUCUUGAGCCGACUACUUAUCAUCAGGCCGUUGUUCAUCCUGAAUGGCAGUUUGCGAUGGCAGAGGAGAUUGCUUCUCUUGAACGCACUGGUACGUGGGAUCUUGUUUCCCUUCCUCCCGGAGUUCUUCCCAUCACUUGUAAUUGGGUCUACAAGGUUAAGACUCGCUCCGAUGGUUCUCUUGAGCGUCACAAAGCUCGUCUUGUGGCUCGUGGUUUUUAACAGGAGCAUGGUCUUGAUUAUGACGAGACUUUUGCUCCUGUGGCUCAUAUGACCACUCUUCGUACACUUCUUGUCGUGGCCUCUACACGCCACUUGUCUAUCUCUCAACUUGAUGUUAAGAAUGCUUUUCUUAAUGGUGAGCUGCGUGAGGUGUACAUGCAGCCACCACCUGGGUAUUCUGUUCCUGAUGGCAUGGUAUGUCGUCUUCGUCGCUCUCUCUAUGGCCUUAAGCAAGCCCCCCGCGCCUGGUUUGAGCGUUUUGCCUCUGUGGUGACUGUCGCUGGUUUUUCACCCGGUGUUCAUGAUCCAGCAUUGCUUAUUCACAUUUCUCCUCGUGGUGGGACUCUUCUUCUUCUCUAUGUUGAUGACAUGGUCAUCACUAGGGAUGAACCCGAGUAUAUUGCCUUUGUUAAGGCCCGUCUUAGUGAGCAGUUCCUUAUGUCUGAUCUUGGACCUCUUCGCUACUUUCUUGGGAUUGAAGUUUCUUCUACCUCUGAUGGCUUCUUUAUAUCCCAGGAAAAGUAUAUCCAGGAUCUUCUUGCUCGUGCUGCUCUUACUGAUGAGCGCAUUGUUGAGACUCCCAUGGAGCUCAAUAUUCACCUCCGUACUACUGAUGGUGAUCCCUUGCCUGACCCGACGCGUUAUCGUCAUCUUGUUGGCAGUCUUGUUUACCUAGCCGUCACUCGUUCGGAUAUCUCUUAUCCGGUUCGUAUUCUGAGUCAGUUCGUCUCUGGUCCCACAACGGUUCACUAUAGUCAUCUCCUCCGUGUUCUCCGAUAUCUUCGGGGCACGAUCUCUCACCGUCUAUUCUUUCCUCGCUCCAGUUCUUUACAGCUUCAUGCCUAUUCUGAUGCUACGUGGGCUAGUGAUCCUUCAGAUCGCCGUUCACUUUCUGCUUACUGUGUUUUUCUUGGUGGUUCUCUCAUUGCCUGGAAGACGAAGAAACAGAUUGCAGUUUCCCGUUCGAGUGCAGAGGCUGAGUUGCGAGCGAUGGCUCUUUUGACGGCAGAGGUGACUUGGUUACGAUGGUUACUUCAGGAUUUUGGUGUUUCUGUCACUACACCGACUCUGCUCUUAUCUGACAGUACAGGUGCUAUUAGCAUUGCGCGCGACCCUGUGAAGCAUGAGCUCACCAAGCAUAUUGGCAUUGAUGCUUUCUAUGUGUGCGUCGCUGUGCAGGAUCAGGUUAUUGGUCUUCAGUAUGUGUCUUCCAAGUUACAGUUGGCGGAUUUCCUGACGAAGGCCUAGACUAGAGCACAACAUGGCUUUUAUCUCUCCAAACUCAGUGUUGUUCAUCCACCAUGAGUUUGAGGGGGGGUGUUAAGUUAUAAUAUAAGUCAUUUACCCUUUUGUAUUUAUCCCAAUAUAUAAGGGGUUUCGUGCAUAUAGUCCACCACAUGUACAUGUAUAUAUACCGGCCUAUGGCCUCAUGGAAUACAAGUUGCUUAUUCCUAAAAUUCUCAACCAUGAACAUGCCAACGCAAAGAGAUUAAGCCGCAUACGACGAACCGUGUGCUUCAAGGCGGGCAUUGAAAGCCGCGACGACGCCUUCAAGAAGGAGCUACGCCGCUACCGGUCCGUCCAAAGAUAGAUCAGGCUUUCACCCCGGCCGACAUUCACCACCACCGAACGCCACAACCCGACGACCACACCGUCCACAUGGCCAUGGGCACCAAGCAACACCUAGCCACAGGCUUUGCCCAUGAGCACCACGGCACCACCACCAGGGCCGCCGCCCCGGCAUCCUAGACUUGGACAUCGCCUCACCCGAGACCCACUGCUACCCCCAACCAAAGAUAUGAGCGGAAAGGACCCGCCUUUUGCACCCCUGGGUUGUCCCCAACGCCGAAACCCAAUAGGCCGGCCAAAACUGGCAUCCAUCGACCCGUCCAGCAGCACCGGGCACGAGACAAGCACGGUCCUGCUACCAGGCGCAAGACGAGGUUGGUCCUGCCGCCGACGCGAGACGAGGUCGGUCCUACUGCCGGGCGCAAGACGAGCGAUGGACCGUAGUUAGGGGAGGACCGAACCUACGACGAAGGUAGCAACCAGACGACGAGGAGAGGGACCGAAGGUCGAAACAGGCCGCCUACAGACGAGCCGACAACGGAAAGCCAGCCGCCGCCCCAGCCGCCCGGCGAGCUGUCGUGAUGCCGACAUGGCGAGGAAGCCUCCACAAGAGCCGAGCCAUCAUGCCGCCACCGCCCACAACCGGAGCAAUAGCCACGCCGGACCGGUGCCCCAAUCCGCGUUGCCAGCCCACCAAGCGUCGGUAAAGCGGACGUGCACCACCACCACCACAACCCUAGCGCCACCACGCCUUGGACAGGUCCAGCCGGAGCCUCACCACCCCACUGGAGCAGGCGGACACCAACUGCAGCGCACCACCUAAACAAGGCCGCCAGCCACCCCUUCCACCGCCAACCACCACACCGUCUAGAUCUGGGCAGGGGGACAAAUCCACCGCCAACACGUCCUAGGACGCCUCCGGACCACGAGUCCCGUCGAAAAGGGAGGAGGCGGCACCGCCGGCCAUCAGAACACCAGGAGGAUGUGGGAGGCGAAGCAGGACCGGACCGAUGGCCGGCACCAUCGAGUAGAGGAGGGGCGCCCCGCGACGGCCACCAUCUGCGCGCGGAAGGAAGCGGCCCCGCCGCCGCCAGCGCCACACAACCUUAGGCCGACGACGUCCCCGACGGCGGCUAGGGAGGGGGGCGGGAGGAGGCAGCAC
This 7222-nucleotide long non-coding RNA is filed under the name Hordeum vulgare. RNAcentral describes it as "long non-coding RNA (HVUL_LNC009582)". The record is from RNAcentral. Lineage: Eukaryota; Viridiplantae; Streptophyta; Magnoliopsida; Poales; Poaceae.